RNAcentral lists this ribosomal RNA (1101 nucleotides) under Salmonella enterica. Its description in RNAcentral is "bacterial LSU rRNA". It matches the Rfam family "Bacterial large subunit ribosomal RNA", at positions 711 to 1725 of the family's 2925-position model. The record is from RNAcentral. Lineage: Bacteria; Pseudomonadati; Pseudomonadota; Gammaproteobacteria; Enterobacterales; Enterobacteriaceae.
AGACCCGAAACCCGGUGAUCUAGCCAUGGGCAGGUUGAAGGUUGGGUAACACUAACUGGAGGACCGAACCGACUAAUGUUGAAAAAUUAGCGGAUGACCUGUGGCUGGGGGUGAAAGGCCAAUCAAACCGGGAGAUAGCUGGUUCUCCCCGAAAGCUAUUUAGGUAGCGCCUCGUGAAUUCAUCUCCGGGGGUAGAGCACUGUUUCGGCUAGGGGGCCAUCCCGGCUUACCAACCCGAUGCAAACUGCGAAUACCGGAGAAUGUUAUCACGGGAGACACACGGCGGGUGCUAACGUCCGUCGUGAAGAGGGAAACAACCCAGACCGCCAGCUAAGGUCCCAAAGUCAUGGUUAAGUGGGAAACGAUGUGGGAAGGCCCAGACAGCCAGGAUGUUGGCUUAGAAGCAGCCAUCAUUUAAAGAAAGCGUAAUAGCUCACUGGUCGAGUCGGCCUGCGCGGAAGAUGUAACGGGGCUAAACCAUGCACCGAAGCUGCGGCAGCGAACGUAUCACCCAAGACAACUUUACGGAGUUGACGAUUGACGGAGCGAAGCGACGUCAAAGCGUUCAUUAAAGUCGAGUUGGCUUAGGGAUACGUUCGUUGGGUAGGGGAGCGUUCUGUAAGCCUGUGAAGGUGUGUCGUGAGGCAUGCUGGAGGUAUCAGAAGUGCGAAUGCUGACAUAAGUAACGAUAAAGCGGGUGAAAAGCCCGCUCGCCGGAAGACCAAGGGUUCCUGUCCAACGUUAAUCGGGGCAGGGUGAGUCGACCCCUAAGGCGAGGCCGAAAGGCGUAGUCGAUGGGAAACGGGUUAAUAUUCCCGUACUUGGUGUUACUGCGAAGGGGGGACGGAGAAGGCUAUGUUGGCCGGGCGACGGUUGUCCCGGUUUAAGCGUGUAGGUGUGUGUUCCAGGUAAAUCCGGUUCACUUUAACACUGAGGCGUGACGACGAGGCACUACGGUGCUGAAGCAACAAAUGCCCUGCUUCCAGGAAAAGCCUCUAAGCAUCAGGUAACAUCAAAUCGUACCCCAAACCGACACAGGUGGUCAGGUAGAGAAUACCAAGGCGCUUGAGAGAACUCGGGUGAAGGAACUAGGCAAAAUGG